Non-coding RNA from Podarcis lilfordi (Lilford's wall lizard), 15306 nucleotides. Lineage: Eukaryota; Metazoa; Chordata; Lepidosauria; Squamata; Lacertidae. The record is from the annotation of a GenBank genome assembly.
GGCUUGCAGUUCCUUUGUGCUCAAUGAUAGGUACAAAUGUUGCGUAAGGAAAAUAUAACUUCCCUUGCAUAAAUCUGUCACCAGAUGAAUCUGAGGAGCUGAACAAUGAAAGAAAAGGUAGCUUAGAGGAUUCCUUGAGCCAUGACCUACAGCUGGUUUCUUUUAAUCCUUAAUGGAUGCUCUAUUGAUGUGGGGGCUCCAUGUUUCAUUUAAAUCUGUAUGCUGCUUUGUAAUCAUAAGGCACAAUGUAGAAAGUCUUCUGAUAGUGAAAUGUCAUGCCAUUUGCCUCUGAGAAUGCAGGUGUUAAGGGUGAGUAUAUCUAUUGUGACCAGUCUCGUGGAAUGCAGAGGAAGGAAUGGGCACAGCUGCUCAGGUCAAAUGUAAUUUAAACAUACACAUAUUUCCUCUUUGUUGAGAAAAUAUGUGUUCUUGGCAGUAGAUGUGCAAUGGUGGAAGACAUUAGACUUCCAAGAACUGGAAGCCCAAUUAUGCAAACUUUUCUACUUUGACAAAAAUUAAACCCUUGCUUGGCCAUCAUUCCUUUCUAUUUAAAGAUUAUUAUUUUAAGCUAGGCACUCCAAGGAAAGGAUCCACUGCACUUUUCUGACCUAAGAAUAGUCAACCUCUGAUCUUUUUUGAUUUCAUUUGUCUGGGACUUUAAGUGAAAUGUAUAAUCAAUCACAUCUGGCAUACCAGAUCUUGGCAAUGGAACAUCCAUAGCAAUCAAUUACUCUUAAGUGGUUCUACAGAGUAGACCACAAAUCUACAAUUCUUCAGAAUAACUUCUAAGUAGCAAGUAUUCAUGGAGCUUUAAUAUUUUAAAAUAAAAUGCCUUACCUAUAUACCUCAGUCCUAAUCACAUUUACUUAAAAGAAAAUAUGAUUCGGCUCAAUUAUGUUUGCUUCCAAAUAGGAAUACUUACAGCCCAGUCUGAACUACAUUUAGAAUUGUGUCUUGAUGAUUCAGUAGAAUUUACAUACCGGUAAAUGAUUAUGCUUAAGAUUGCAAUUAUACAUUCCUAUGCAAGUUUAUUCAGAGAAAGUAAGUCCCCACAGUUUAUUAGAGUUUGCACCCCAGUAAGCAUACAUAGGAUGGCAUGCUAAAUGUACCAGGGUAGAGCUAUAGGCAGCUAAUAAGUGGUGAGCUGGGAGCUUGGAAUCAGGAAAUUUGCUAGGGGGUCAGAUCCAAAUUCCCAAGCCAGGAAUCAGACUCAAGGAACAAGCCAGGAAAUCAGAUCUAAAUAUCCCAUAGUAGUUUACCAAAGGUAGGAUCACCUUGAUAUUCAACAAAAUCCCAUUCCAAACAGAGGGCAGGGCCUAGUGGUUAUCUUGGGUACAUGUGACCAGUCUAGAUCCUGAGAAUCAUUUAUUGUUAGGAAGAUGCUUCAAACUGCAGUUGUGUGUCUCAUCUGAAGCAUCAGCACAAAGAACCGAAAGUUCCUGGUUCUAGCCCCAGAAGUUCCUGGCAAUGUGUCAGUUCAUAUACCCCAAGGCCUACGCAUACAUUAGGAGCAUGUGGGUCCACCUCUGAGCUUGUGGUUCACAGAAACUCACAUGGGGGUGCCAUUUGUUUGACCCAGUAUGACACCAUGUGAGGUGGUCCACACAUUCACCAUGAUUCAUGUGAGUAUAUGCCUUUCUUGAGAAAUUGCAAUUGCACAACUUGCAAGGUCUACAUACGCAUCUAAAUGUAGAUGAUCUUCUCAGUCUUAUUCCCAUCCUGUCAUGCAAUGCUCUUCUGUACCCUUUCUGUGUCAUGUAAAUAGCUUUGUUAUUGGUGGCUGCAUCUACCUGGUGAUGGUGACUGCUGUCAGGAUGACCGUGCUACUCUCUUGUGCUUGCCUGUUGCAACCAGGCAUGGUGACGCUCUGGUGCAGCAGUAGUUGCACCUUAUCUUAAACUCUUAUUUCCCUAUAGAGCAGAUUGGUCUAUGUGUUGCAUUUCCCAUCACAGAUAAUACUUAAAGGCUGGUCAUGCUUUGCAGCUAUUUGACAGGAUUCCUACAGAACCAGGUUUUUAUGAAAAAAGUACCAUGAGGUUCUGAUUUCAGAGAGGGGUGCAAUUUCCCUGCCUCCAAGCUCCAUCUCUGUGGGUCAUUGACAAGAAAAGAAAAGAAGAGAAAAGAAAAGAGAAAAAUGGCAGGAUGUCAUUUGACUCUAGUUUCAGAUGCAGAACUAAGACCAGCUCUGGAUUCCCUGUAAAUAAAUUGUAGAUUGUUAUGCUUGUGACUUACUGCCUUAAGAUUAACUUUUCUUUCUCUUAUCCUGUAUAUCAAAUAUAUUAACUUUUGGAUGGAAGCAUUGCUUGAAUAACACUUGCAAAACAGAGACAGAGAACAAGUAUAGGAUUUAAAAAGUAUCAUUAUCUCAAAUUGAUCAUGAAAAAUACAGUAGAAGGUUAUUUUCUUCAAAGUUUAGCAAUGCUAAUUGCACUGACUUGAGUUCCAGAAGUCCCCAAAGUAGGGAUGAAGAGGAUUAGGAAAUAUAAUUGGCUCUAGAAAACUCCCAAAGGCAUCUGUACGUUCAGCAUGAAAGAAUAUAUUCCACAAAGCUUAACCUGUAAAACAUUAGUAAAACAGCCAUGUUCCAUCUGAUGAGUGGUCUGGAAGCAUUUGUGGGAAGCAUAUUCUGUUGAUGAACAAGUAUUUGAUUUUAUUUGAUCAGCACAAAGGUAAAAGUGACAGGAGAACACAAAACCUUCCAGAAUUACACUUAUUGUCUCUGAGCCAGCCAACUAUACUACUCAAGUGUGUUAUUUUGAACUUCAUUCAUUACAGGUUGUUGUACCUAUCAAAUAAGUGAAUAAAAGUACAUAAUGUAAAUAAAAAUAUCAGCUGCCUUGGGGUCAACAUGAGCAGCACCCCACAGAUACUACCGCCAUCCAUCAAGCAAAUGAAGACAGAUGAAAGAUGGCAAGUUACAUUAUCCUCUGAUGAUAAGAGUGGAGUACCAAUUUGUAAACAAAUGGGAAUUCUUUACAAAUAUGCGGGGUGAAAAUAGAUUGCCUUGAAUUGACAAGACAAUAAUUCUGGCUGUUUCUGGAAAUUCCCAUACUGAAUAGGAAGAAAAGGGGGGAGUGGGGUGGCUGGUACUUUUUUGGUAUUCUUCGAAGAUUAUGCAAGUGAUUGUUGGCAAGGCUCUAUUUUUACCAUUCUCCCACAAUCAUCUAAGCAAUUGUUUAUCCCAUGUCUUUUAUGGAAAUGAGUCAUGGGCACACUCUUCCAUUGUCUCCCAAGACAGAUGGAUGCCAACCAACCAACCAACCAUGUCACAUGGGAGGUUCUUAAGUCCAGGAGUCUUUCCAGGCUCUACCUGGAGAUGCUGCAAAUUGAACCUGGAACUUUUUACAUACAAAACAUGUGCUUUACGAUUGAAUUCAUGCAUAGCUCAUAGGAGCAGUUGAGAGUCCCCCUUUCUGCUCAUUCCCAUCCUAUGAUGUGGAACCAGAACCGCCCAGGAAGAAAGGGGACAGAAAACUUUUUCUGCUCAGAUUUGAAAGGGAAGUUUUAGGUGAAGAGCAGCGCAAAAGAGGGUAUCAGGGAGGCAUUUUAAUGGAUGCUCAGAGUUCCACAUUGACUGUCCCAGUUAAGGACAACAAACUGAUGGCUUGAGGUGAUGACUAAGCAGAGUCUGUAGAACAAAGAUGGGAAAGCUGUGGUCCUCCAGAUGUUGUUGGACUCCAAUCCCCAUCAUCCCUGACCAUUGGCCAGGCUAGCCGGGACUGAUGUGCAGUGAAAUCCAUUCCAACCUUGGGCCAUGCUUCUUAGAAGCUGACUCACUUUUUCACAGAAACAUACCAGAAGACGGGGCUGGCUAAGUUAAUUAGAAAUCUGUGUUAUCUUUGCAUAAGUGGAAGGAUGGACAUAGUAAGUCCUUCAGUGGAAUGGAAUUUUCCACUUUUGAUUCUUGGUGUGGGUGUUUAUGAAUGCAUGCAUACACUGAUUCCACUUCACAUAUACUCAGAGCAACUGGAAUAGAGCUGCUUUUAUUAUGACAGUGACUAGGAAAAGCCGGCAAGCCUGCAGAACUGCAGAGUAAAAAAUCAAAACCAAAUCUAAAUAUAGCAACAUAGGAAACUGUCUUAUACUGAAACAGGCCAAUGAGCCAUCUAGCACAGUAUCGAAUUGUUAUACUGUCAACAGAUUUUAAGGGCUUAGGAGUCAUUCCCAGGACCUUUUCCCUCCAACAUAUAUGCUCUACCACUGAACUACUACAGCCCAUCCCAAACUAUAGAUUAGAUUCAUUGGUGUAAUGACAAGGAUGCUCAGGUUCUGCAAGAGGUCUUCCCUCCUCACUGCAAAGCAGUAUAAUGUAGUUCAGUGCCAUAUUUCAGAACCAUAUUCAGUAAUCAAAUUCCUGAAAAAUAACCCAUAGUUUUCUGCCAAUUGGACAGUCUAUUUCUGGAAUAGUCUCCAAUAACUAUUUCAUAUUUAUAGAGCCCUAGAAUAGCACAGCCUCAUUUUAUGGAAAAUGAUUAGGGAUUUUUUUUUAUUGAUUAAGCAGUAUAUCAACCCUGGCUUAUAUCCAAUGCAGCACUAAGUAACCAUCCUUGUCAGUGCAAGGAUUUAUGUUUGUGCAAUGGGACUUCCCUUCUCCUCUCACCGCAUGCACCCUAAAUCUGUUCUGGGUGUCCUCCCAACCCUUUGGAGCAGAUUUGGAGAAGGCAUGUGGGUGUACAGUGGCAGGAGAUGGCAGGAGUCCCAAUGCUCAAGCAGAAACUCUUUUGUUGAUGGAAUGGUUUCUUAGUGCUGUAUUUGAUACAAGCCCUUGCUAAACAAUCAGGUACAAGCAUUCAAAUAAACAAUGGAGGCACCAUGCACGCUGGUCUUUAACUUCAUGCCAUGAACCAGCAGGAUAAUGGGGAGGAGGAGGAGGAGGAGGGUCCUGGCGAGGAGUGUAGUCAGGACUGGGACACACUGAGGCAAGCUCGAAAUUUGGAAGGAAAGGUUAAUGUAGGAAGUACUUAUGGAGUAACGGAGGAUGACAAGUGCUCAGAAACCAGAGCAGCAGGACCCAGAGCCAGAAGGGCUUCUGUCUACAUGAACAUGGCAGGCUCUGAGGCGUAGGGAGCAGCAGAUGGGAUGCUCCAGGAAGCUGAGGCAGGCAAGGGCCCACAGUCCAGUUCCCUAGCUGACCAGGUGGGGAUUGUUAGCUGUGGGAGGAGGUGUGUGAUUCCUCAGCAGGAGUAGGCUUAGAACAGGUGAGGGUCACAUGCCUCAUCAAGUCCAGAUGCUGCAAUCAGCAUGCAAAGUAUAAACGGGCAGCAGAGCUAAGGUCCUGUGUCUGUUCAGCUGCUCAUGUUGAUGGACUUUGACUUGGAUUAUCCUGCACCUCCAAGUGACUGUGCUUUGGGUUUGACCCUGGACUGUAUCCUGAUGGCUGGACUUUGGACUUGGCUACUUGGGUUGACCCAGAACCUCAUUUCUUGGACUUGCUUGUGUGGCUUAACCCUCAGACUUUGAACUGUGGACUUGGCAUACUGACUUUCUGCCAGGUAGGCCAAGGGUUUGUGACCCUUCAGUUCUUGAUAAUCUGCUUGAAUGUUAUAAUGCUGAAAAUGAAUUGGGGAUUUAGGAAAACCUUUUGGACUGACUCCCAAGUCACAUGCCUUAUGCCAAAUCAGACCACUGGUCCAUCUAGCUCAGCACUGUGUACACGGCACUGGGAGAGGCUCUUUUGGGAUUGAGAGGGGGCUUCCCCAGGGCAGAUCUACACCAUACAUUAAAAGUGCAUUCACUCCACUUUUAAAACGUAUCACUGUAGUUUCCCCUCACAGACCUGCAGUUCUUUAACAGAUUACAUUUCCUAGGAUUAUUUGGGGGAAGUGCUUUACAUGUGCAUGGGGUGUUGAUCACAGAGCUCAGAGAUAUCGGGGACGAAACCCGGGACCUGCUGCAUGCAAAGCACAUACAGCCCCUCCCCAAAAUUGUAUUAAGAUUUGAAUAGAUGCAAGAAAAUUGCCCAGAUUAAAUGUUCACAUUACUUAGAAAACUCAGAUGGAGUCUUUUCUUCUGCCCAGCUUGGUGUUUCAGUGGUAUUCAAGGACUUUUAUCUUCAUUAACAAGUCAGCCAACAAACUGACAAAUAUGGGCUUAGACCAGAACUUUAUUACAGCCUAUUAUUACCUUCCUUUCUUCUUACUUAGUUUGUAACUCAUACUGAGCAGUAACCAAAUUCCUGCCGAGAGGCCUCUUUUAUUACCGUAGUUUGGGUUUUGUUUUUUGUUCAUGGUCAAAAGAGGGACCCCCAUUAUUUUGUAGCUUAGUGAGGUAGUUCUCCUCCUGUCAAUCAAUUCCAAAAGGUUUUUUUGUACAACUCUUGAGAGCCUGCAUCUCAUGUUUAGAUCACUGAUUGCUUCCAAGGGCAAUUGCCUUUCCAUAAUAGAUCUCACUCUGUCAAACCCUGUAAAAGCUUGCUUGUUUUUUAUCUAAUACAAUUGCCCUGGGAUUCUUGAAGUGGCAAAUGUAAGGAGGAUAAAUAAGGCUGAAAUUAUCUGAAUCAACCAACCAAAUGACGCAAAUGAUUUUGUCCCCAUUUGGUUACAUUGCGGUACUGAUGCUGCCCUGACCAAAUUUUAUAGCCUCAUCUAUGGGAAGUUGGUCUGGUGAAUGAUUCAGGAUAAGCUACUCAUUAGAGUAGUUGCAUGAAUGAUUCAUUUAACAAACUGAGCCAGGCAAAGAGGAGGCAUUUUAGCAGUGGCUUACUAGAUGGAAUUUACUUCUUAAUAUUUUGAGCAACAUUUCUUUCACAUGAAGAGUCAAGACAUGCUAAAGACCCAAGAAAAUAGGUUUUUGAAGUUUCAGCAGAUAGGAUCUGCUUUGCAUACUCAAAUUGAUUUGCCUUCCUCUUCUGGGCCCCUACAUCUUGACAUCCCAAAGAAAGUUGCUGUGAAGGGAGUGGCAAAAGUAGCAAUGGGUUUUGCUGGCAGGCCAAUUUAGGAGGUAGCAGUGGAGUCUCGUGCCCCAAAUUUCUUUUCAAAGUGGCAUUCUGGUAAAACAAAUUGCUGACUAAGACUUCAGCACUGGACAGUGGUAAACUGCUUGAGCCAUCUCGGCAUUUUACAGUGGUACCUCGGGUUAAGUACCGGUACUUAAUUCGUUCCGGAGGUCCGUACUUAACCUGAAACUGUUCUUAACCUGAAGAACCAUUUUAGCUAAUGGGGCCUCCUGCUGCUGCUGCGCCCCCGGAAAACAAUUUCUGUUCUCAUCCUGAAGCAAAGUUCUUAACCUGAAGCACUAUUUCUGGGUUAGCGGAGUCUGUAACCUGAAGCGUAUGUAACCUGAGGUACCACUGUAUUUUAUUUUAAUCAUUGUGGCUCAUGAAAAGAACACUGAAGGGAUGUUAUGAGCAUGAGCUAUGAACUGGUCUGCAAUUCUCAACUAAAAACCCAAAUUCUAAAAGCACAGACCCAUUUUUCCCCCAUCAGAAUUGGAAUAAGUUAUCCAAAUCCACCACAUUGAUAUAUACCUUCUUCUUUUGCGAACUUCAGGCUGCUUGCCAAUGCAACAGCAAAAUUUGAAAUAGUGUGCUCAGUUUUCUGUAAGGAUUGCAAACUUUCAGAGUUGGUGAAUCAUGGAAAACUGAACCAGCAGAUGGCUGGGUAUGUCAGCAGCAGCACUUUACCAUGUGCUCAUUUUGAUUUUGUGUGAAUUUAAUACUGAUCUUGCUGACAAUGUUUCCAUGAAGCAUAAGCGAGCAUUGGUGCACAGAGGUUGCACAUAGUCUCUACUCACAACUUCUCCAACCAUCUCCAAACAGCUAUACAAUUCUUGAUUUAUUGCCUCCUCCUCCUCCCUAAUCAGUCUGCAUGCCCCUACCUACCAUUUGGUCACACAAUAGUUCUGUGCGUAUGUGUCUUCAGAAGUCAUAUGUAUUCAUAUCUGCCUAACCCACACAGGCAUCUCAUUGCUAAAGAAGGUUGUCAGAAUAGAGCUGUCUAGCUGGGUCUUGGAAACUAUGGUCAAGGGUGGGAGUUCCACAGUUUGGAAAGGAGCUGUGGUAGGACUUCUCUUCCCAGGCGCUCUGGGAGGAAACUGAUUUUCUAGAUGCAGUUCAGUUGGGUUUUAGGCUUGGUUUGGGCACAGAAAUUGCUUUGGUCAUCCUGUAUGAUGACCUCUGUUGAGAGAGAGAGAAGGGAAAUGUGUCCUUGUUAAUUCUCCUCAACCUCUUGGUGGUUUUUGAUACCAUUGACCAGAGGUAGGCAACCUAAGGCCCGGGGCCCGGAUGCGGCCCAAUCACCUUCUCAAUCCGGCCUGUGGACAGUCCGGGAAUCAGCGUGUUUUUACAUGAGUAGAAUGUCUGCUUUUAUUUAAAAUGCAUCUCUGGGUUAUUUGUGGGGCAUAGGAAUUUGUUCAUAUUUUUUUUCAAAAUAAAAUCCAGCCCACCACAUGGUCUGAGGGAUGGUGAACUGGCCCAUGGCUGAAAAAGCUUGCUGACACCUGCCAUUGACCAUGCUAUCCUUCUGGAGUGGCUGUCUGAGUCAGGGUGCAUGGCACUACUUUGCAGUGCUUCCAAUCCUAUUGAGAUGGUUGUUUCCAGAGUCCUGGUUGUACCCAGAAAUGGAGCAGAAGCCAGUGCAGCUGUUUAAACUCCUGUGAGAUAGGACCCCAACAUUCAGUCCGGUUGGCAGCCUAUCAGUUAUGUUUUUGAGGACUAACUGCAGUUUCUGGGAGUUAUCAGUUUAUUAGCAGUGGGCAUGGUGGGGCAGAGGCAGGGCCGUCUUACCCAUAGGCGCUAGGGGUGCCAGGCCGAGAGUCCAGGGCCCAAGAGUUGAGUUCGGGGAAGAGCCCGCCCGUCGAUUGGAGUGCCGUGGUGGUCUCUUCUGCUGUGGGUGGCUCUGCAUCGCGAGUUCAGGGGAGACACUGAGGCCGCCGGCUGGCUCCGCCCUCCUGCAUGCCUGCGACUUGGUAACCUGGGGGGGGGGCUCCGGGUGGAUCUUUGCACCCUGGCACCGCAUAUGCUUAAGACAGCCCUGGGCAGAGGUGUGGAGCUGCCCUCCCACCACUGGCUUACCUAGACAGGGCUGGGAAACACCAAAACAUUGUUGGAGCCAGUUUGACACCAUCACCAGUGUGUUCACACCAGUCUUCCCUGCCUCAACUGAGCCCUGUCCAGGUAAGCUGCAGCAACAUUGGGGGUAGGAGGGCAAUUCCACAGCUCUGCCUCACCGCAAUAGCCGCUACUGAUUGCCACCUGGUGAGGUUGCCAAAGGGGAAAUAACAGUAUAAGCUCGGAAGAUGUGCUGGUGAGGCAAAAUCGCUCUGAAGAAGCCUGAGGGAAAUGGAAACAAACCUGUUAAAAGAAGGAGCAAGUAAAUUGCUAAGAAGUACAAUGGCUAGGGGCUUCAAAGAAACCAUAGACCUGUGGCCCAAUAUGCAACCUACAGAUUUGCAGGGGUUCAAGACACUCAAAGCAUUAGGGAAAAAAUACUCGGCAUAACCAUGAUUUGAGCCAUUAAAAACAGCUUCUUUUGAUUAAAGAAAAUGGGAUGGGGGAGGAGGUAUUUAGCCAUAAAUGAAUGUUCAUAUCUGUAUAUAAAUCAGUAGGCUUCUAUCAUGUGACUAUUCAUUAGGCUGUGCUGUACCAGCAGUGAAGCACUACAUUAACUAGUUGAACACAUUCAUUCAGGUAAUAACAUGGGAUUGCACUUCCCAGCAUAAUUUGUUGUUAUGAGCUGCAGCUGUAUCUUAUCCUUUCCUUGCUAUUUUUACCCAUUGUUCCAAUGUAAUUGUCCACAAAACUUUAACCCAUCUGCUUGUUCCCUCUGCUGUAAGACAUCAAUUCUGCUUAGCCUCCUGGGCACAUCUAUCUAUUUCUGUCCCUAUCCUCUCAAGAUAAAGAUAAAUACAUCAUAUAAUGCCUCACACACACACUGCAGCUGUCUCUUGAUUGUGAAGGUUUCUGAACAUGUGCUUCUGCUGUUCAGACUGCUCUAAUAUGAUUUGGAAGCAGUUCCACAGAGGAAAUACAUCUUCUGUUUCAGUAACGGUGUAUUAUGUGCCCAUACAUUUUGCAAACAUACCUAAGAAGAAAAAUAAGUAACUCUCUCUUGGAACACACACUGUGACCUAAUCAUUUUGUGCAAAGUUGCUGUUGGGUUAUGCUGUCCUGAUGCUUGAGAAGUCUUUUUGUUUUAUUUGCCUGACUUGUAGCCCUUUGUAAUUGACUCAUUGCUUCCCAGUAAGCAACUAGAUUCCAGUACAGAGCAGUGAUACGUAGAUUUGAUGGACAUUUUUUAUAUAACCAGGGGGUGUUACGAUUUCCAGGUACCAUUUUUAGUCAUGGGGUGCAACUGAUUUUCUUUGGUUUGAUAUCUUGAGCAUGAUACUCGCAACCUCCCUUGGGUAGUAGAGAUAUGAGAUGGAGAAAUCAACAACAGCUGGCUCCUUAGUGAGGUGGACUGGCCCAUUUAAAGCUUCACCAUAAACCAUAAUCAAGAUUUCCCUUCAAGUAAUGUCACAAAAGGUCAUUCACUUGUGGUGUGUUACUUUAAGCACAGAUGGGACUCAAAUAUACACCUGGGUGUAUAGUGGAAAGCUCCACACAUACCAAGAAGGACAGGCUUUUGUUAUGGUGGUAAGUGCUUACCACAGACACCUGAUUUUAAGUUGCUCAAGGAGCUGGAAUUAACUCACUGACAGUUCACAUAUAGUACAGUUUCUUAAACAUGAUACACCUCUUCCCUACCAAUAGCCAUGCUCAAGAUGAUGAUGAUGGAAAAUUCUAUGUCACUUCUUCCAGGGAUCAGAGGGAAGUUUACAAUAUAUAAACACAAAAAUAUAGAACAUGGUAACAAACAAAAACGACACCACCACCCCUGAGUUUAAAGUGUCAGAUUGUUUAAUUAUCCAAAGGCCUGGGAGAAAAGGAAUGUUUUUGCCUGGACCCUAAACAUAUGCAAUGAAGGUGCCAAGAUGAAAACAAUCCAUGCACAUGUUCAGGUUCAAAGUAGUCCAGGCAGUAAUGGAUGGUGUGAUGGGUCUCCAGCCUCACCUGACCUCCACUUGGUCAUACUGCUGCUGCUGCUUACUGGAAAACAAAGGGUACGGGGCAAGGCAGUCAUAAGGUUGGCAUGGCUCAAAUACACCAACCAUGCCAAGCCAGUGCUGUGUGUUUGCAUCACACUAACAUCACUGCUUCCCACCUCACCCUCUGACUUCUGCUAUAACAGAAUGUUCUGCUCUCCUGUGUGCCUCCAAAAAACUCAGUUCAGAGGGAUUGGGAGAACCCCCAGAAAAGCACAUGGAUGGGGGGGAUUAUUCCACCUGAUAUUCUGCUUGAGCCAUUGCCCACAGCACUAUUUUGAAUGCCUCCCAACUCUCUAAAAUAAAAUACUACCUCUUCGUAUAGUUCUAAAACUACAUGGAGGGAGAGAGGGAGAUUUCAUGAAGCCAGGAAGAUGGCAAAGGAAAUUAACGGGAUGGAACAGGAUUCUGUCUGAUGGGAUAAAGGAAAGUGGAAACUUCAGGCGGCAUUAAGCCAGGGACCACACAAAAUGAGGCUGGGCUGCAUAUGUUUUUCCAUGUGACAGGUUACCCACCUUGGAUGUAGUGUUUCGCUGCUGCUACCAAAUAAUGUUACAUCUUUAUCAGUUGCUAACUGUAGUAGAUGCUAAUUGUAGUUUUCACCUGAUCCCUUGAGAGCCAAGUCACUGCUGCUUACCAGGAAGAAAAGGGUGAGGGGGUCAGCAUGGUGCAAAUGGUAGAUAGGCUCUGCUGGUACUUUUGCACUGCACCAAGCUGACACCUUGUCCCUUCUCUUCCCAGUAAGCAGCAGUGACUCAACUGUCAGGAGAUUAGCCAUUCACUACCAGUUAUUGACACACACCAUUUGCAGCUGAUAAAGAUAGUGACAAAGCAAUCCUGUCAUGUGGAUUUAGUGGUGUCCAGUUUGCAAGAAUGUUGCCAAAAUUACUCCUGGUUAUUAUGCCAUUCUUUAACCACCUCUUCUGAAAAAGUGACUCAGGCGAUAAGACUUCCUUAAUCUUUGUCGCUGCUUCUCCUUUGUCUUCCUAGUUCAAGCACUUGAAGCCUGUAAAGAGAGAAGGAUGUUUCUGUCAGGCAACAUCUGAUUUGUCAAGAUCAUUUUAACACACACAUUCAAAUGUUCACUCUCUCAUACAUCCAGAGUUGCAUGUUUGGUAUUUAUCUUCCAUAUAAUCUCUGGCACUUAUGAAGCACUGGUGUGUUAGAUUGUGUCUUGUCAUCAAAGGCUUCCCAUUCAUUUCAGUGACAAGAUGCAUCUGAAAUCGGUGACAAAUCGGGAGAGUAUUGGGGGGGGGAGCUAUUAAACUGCUGGAGACUGAAUGUGACGCUUUCCUUUAAAUGAAUUCUUUAAAAGAAACGCAACCAAGCCUUGUCUCCCCCUGCCCAUCAUAUUUUGAAGUUUGUCACUAAAGCAUUAUGAACAGUGGCAGAGCCAUGGGCUCAACUCCCACUUCAUUCAGGUCAUAGGUUGCCUACACACCAAUCCAUUUGUACGCAGCUCACUAGAUAGUUUGGGGCAAGUGACUGCCUUGAGCAAAUAGUGCCUGUUGAAUUUGUUUGUCAUGAAGCUAUUGAAGGCAAAAGUACCACCCAGCCUCCCUCCCUCCUUCUACUGCAGUACCACAGCAGUAAAUAUACUGCAAUGUACACUUUGGGGCUUUUAUGAUGCAUAGAUUGAUGCAUGAAACAAUUAACUAAGAGAGAAUGGAAUUUUACAUCCCCCUCUCCCCCCCCCGUCUUCAUCAUCAUAAUAGUGCUCCAUAUGAUUAUAGCAAGAAUCCUUUCAAAAGGAAUCCUUCGCUGGCAUAGGUGGCUUGGUUGAAAUUAAUGGAACUGUAUAGGUUUACAGUCCUUGAGCAUCUCACCUCUCAAUUGCCAAUAUUCUUUACCAAUCAAUGCUUGCCUGGAGCAUCAAUCAAGUUAUGAGAGCAAACAUUUCCAAAAUUAAAUGGGAAAUAGUGGGGACUGAUGGGUUUGCUGUCUGUCCUCCUUAGUCUGUUACAGGCAGAAAUAAAACAACUGCAGUUUCCCACCUUGUCCAUACUUGCGAAAGCUACACUUGUUAAAUGUGUGCCUAUCAUGCAUCGCUUAAAGUUUAUGCCAGGAAAAAAUUGGCAACCAUAUCUCUGAGAUCGUCCUUUAAAAUACACAGUGCUCCUUACCAAGCAUACAAAUACAUGCUGUAGGUCAGAUCAGCAUAUUUCCAAUCAUAUCUGGCGACGCAUUUAAAGGUUAAAAAGCCAAUAGAAGUAUUCCUAAGAAAUGCAAUUGGGCCCUGGAGGGAGAUGUGUUCAUCAGGAAUGUUUCUGACCACCAUCCCUGCCCAGGAGGUUCAGCUUUCGUUUUUAAAAUUAAAGGAGGUAUGCAGCUAAGUCACACUCAGGAAUAGAACUGUUGAUGUCAGUGGUCUUAAACAAUGACUAACAAGCCUCAGUCAGUAAAGCUGUAUACACACCAUACAUUUGAAGUACAUUUCCCCACCCCAAGAAUCCUGGGAACUGUAGCUUGUUAAAUGUGCUGGGAAUUAUAGCUCUGCUGGGAAGCUACCGUCCACAGGAUCCUUUGGGGAGUGCUUUAAAUAUAUGGUAUGUAUGUAGCCCAACUAUGGCUUAGUUGGUUACUAUGCUAUGGUUAGAGACAUAAGAGGAAACAUACAGGGAGCAUUAAAUCCAAUUUCUCUAUAUGAAGCGGUACAAUUAAGUAGUUUUGAACAUAUUAGGUUACCCAUAUUUUGUCAGUAUCGCCCUUGAGCCAGUGCCACCAACUGGACUCAUCCACUUCAGCCCCGACUGGGCUAGGCGAGCUGGGUAGCACUUCCAGAGACCACCUUCUGCACAGGAACAGGUCAAAGUGCUGUGGACUCACAGCUUAGAGUUGUGAGCACCGGAAUUCACUCCCACAAGAAGACAGUCGUCGCACAGCAGAGUACAGCAGAGUCUAGCAGAGUAGAUGAUGGACUCAAGGGCAUCCUGAUCAAAUUUGCAGAUGACACCAAACUGGGAGGGGUGGCUAACACCCCAGAGGACAGGAUGACACUUCAAAACGACCUUGACAGAUUAGAGAACUGGGCCAAAACAAACAAGAUGAAUUUUAACAGAAAUACCGUGUGCACCAGGCAAAAAAUGAAGCUUCAAAUCACAAGAUGGGACACCUGGCUUGGAGCAGUACAUGUGAAAAGGGUCUAGGUCUUGGUUGACCUAAACUGACAGCUAGGCCAACAGUGUGUGUGGCAGCUAAAAAGCCAAUGCAAUUCUGGGCUGCAUCAAUAGGAGUAUAGCAUCUAGAUCAAAGGGAAGUAAUAGUGCCACUGUGUUCUGCUCUGGUCAGACCUCACCUGGAGUACUGUGUCCAGUUCUGGGCACCUGGUUCAAGAAGGACACUGACCAAGCUGGGCGUGUCCAGAGGAGGGGCCUUACAAAAUGGUCAAAGGCCUGCAGACGAUGCCUUAUGAGGGCGGCUAAAGGGAGCUGGGCAUGUUUAGCCUGGAAGAGGAGGGUUGGGGGUGAUGUUAGCCAUGUUCAAAUAUAUAAAGGAUGUCACAUAGAGGAGGGAGAAGGUUGUUUCUGCUCCAGAGAAAGCGGACAUGGAGCAAUGGAUCCAAACUACAAGAAAGAAGAUUCCACCUAAACACAGGAAGAACUUCUGACAGUAGAGCUGUUCGACAGUGGAAUUUGCUGCCAAGAGGGUGUGGUGGAGUCUCCUUCUUUAGGUCUUUAAGCAGAGGCUCCCGGCAACCAUAUGUCAGAAUUAUCUGAUGGUGUUUUCCUGCUUGGCAGGGUUGGACUCUGAGUGGCGCCUUGGUGCCCAGCUCUAUGAUUCUAUGAUUCUAUGAUUCUAUGAUAUAAACAACUCGGAGAGCAGCUCUGUAGAAUAUCUUCUUUUAUUCUAUCUACAACUAUUAUACAACUAUAUACAGAGCUAAAUAGGUCUAAGCAUAAAUGAAUGCUACACUGCACUGAGUGUCUGCAGCUGCUCUUAGCAGCAACCUUAUCUCUACACACGAUCUCUAACACUCAGUCUCUCUCUCUCUCUCUCUCUCUCUCUCUCUCUCUCUCUCCCCGACACUGACUGACUGACUGACUGAGUGCUGGAGCAGAAUAAGUAGAGAGCAGAACACGCCUCCUCCUCUCUGGAGAAUCAGCAGACUCCUCAGGAGAUUCUUGGAUAUGGGAGGGAUGAAAUCUCCUCAUAUUUAUGUUGUGUGUUUUGCAAUGAUUUCCCAACCCCUGAGAUCUUCCCCUCACCACAACACUUUUGGCUAUGGGCCUGGAAAUGAGCUAGUCUCUCCCCCCCCCCCGCCCCAAUCAGAUAAGUAACACUGAC